Molecule: long non-coding RNA, 1182 nt
Organism: Globicephala melas (long-finned pilot whale)
Lineage: Eukaryota; Metazoa; Chordata; Mammalia; Artiodactyla; Delphinidae
Source: RefSeq, a predicted model, not a curated record
GCUGGAUUUUACUUGUGCUUCUGCUCCUUUUCCAUCCCCAUGAGGAGAGGAUGCUGGUCCCAGAGAGGAUGAGAGAGCUGAGCCUCUGAGCCGCUCCAUUACCCAACCUGCAGCGGCAAAACCCAUCCAGGUGACGCCUCUAGAGACUGCCAGCUGCACCUGAGGUGAAAGUGUGCCCUCUACACCUGUCACAACUGCAGCGUGGAUAAGCCCGGGCUAGCGACUUUAAGACCAGAGUACCUGGGAUUAACUGAAGUAACCCUCGUGAAAUGGACAAGUGGCUUAAACAUCUCCCUGCAGAGAAGCGACAGAUGGAGGAUAAUUCCAGUAAUACAGCUUCUUCCGCUCAACAUAACGUCUGUGAGAUCAUCCACGUUGUGUGUAUCCGUGGCCCCGUUUCACAGAGGAAGAAACCCAGGCUCAGACAGACUAAGGGAAGUGGCGUCGGAGGGAAGCCCCAGCUCUCUGAGGACGUCCCCUUCUUUGCUUGAGCACCGUCCCCUGAUGGUCCAUGCUGAUCGCCAGUCCAGGCAUUCCUUCCUGUGCUGGGGCUUCCUCCCACGCACAGUCGGUUGGGGAUCAUGCCAUCAGCAAAGGCUCUGACCUGCUAAAUCUCAUCCAUCAGACUGGCCACACUCCUUCCAACUGAGCUGGUAAUGUGAUCAUGUGAUCACGCCGUGGCGACUCGGUUCCUGUGGCCCGUUCGGCAUCACUUCACAGGCGCUUUCUGUGGACUCGGGUCAAAUCCUCUGUGUCAGCACCGUGUGUACCCUGUCGCACCCCACAGGUGACCCUGUAGAGGUUCCUGGCUGCAUCUGUGCCCACAGACGCGUGUCCACUUGCACACGUGCCUCUCUCUCUGGCAGAAAAUCUUUGAGGUGGAACCCAAUGGGCUGGGUUUAAAUCCUGACUCCACUACUUACAGGCUGUACCACUUUGCCCUAGUUACCCUCUCUGUGCCUCAGUUUCCCAUCUGUAAAAUGCGGAUGAAGACAGAACCCACUUCUUGGAGUGUAUUCAUUUCCGGGGCUGCCACAACAAAGUACCAUAGACUUAGUGGCUUAGAAAACUGAAAUCUAAUUGCUCACAGUUUUGGAGGCUGAAAUCAAGGCAUCCGCAAGGUUGCCUUGGGGUCGCUGGGGGGGAAUCUAUUCCAUGGCCCUCUCUGAGCUUCUGGUGGUU